UACGAAGGGGGCUAGCGUUGCUCGGAAUCACUGGGCGUAAAGGGUGCGCAGGCGGGUCUUAAGUCAGGGGUGAAAUCCUGGAGCUCAACUCCAGAACUGCCUUUGAUACUGAAGAUCUUGAGUUCGGGAGAGGUGAGUGGAACUGCGAGUGUAGAGGUGAAAUUCGUAGAUACUCGCAAGAACACCAGUGGCGAAGGCGGCUCACUGGCCCGAUACUGACGCUGAGGCACGAAAGCGUGGGGAGCAAACAGG
RNAcentral lists this ribosomal RNA (252 nucleotides) under uncultured bacterium. RNAcentral describes it as "partial 16S ribosomal RNA". It matches the Rfam family "Bacterial small subunit ribosomal RNA", at positions 524 to 776 of the family's 1533-position model. The record is from RNAcentral.